GAAUUUAAACCUCUUCCAGAGUAUCAAUUGGAGGGCAAGUCUGGUGCCAGCAGCCGCGGUAAUUCCAGCUCCAAUAGCGUAUAUUAAAAUUGUUGCAGUUAAAAAGCUCGUAGUUGAAUUUCUGCUACAUUGCCUAUUCUCCUUUACGAGUUUGGGUCUUUUGUGGCUUAUCUGGGUUCGCUUGCGUUCCCGGUGUUUUACUUUGAGAAAAUUAGAGUGCUCAAAGCAGGCUUUUGCCUUGAAUAGUUUAGCAUGGAAUAAUAAAGUAGGACUUUGGUUCUAUUUUGUUGGUUUUAGGUACCAAAGUAAUGGUUAAUAGGAACAGUUGGGGGCAUUCGUAUUUAACUGUCAGAGGUGAAAUU
Molecule: ribosomal RNA, 362 nt
Filed under: Theileria velifera
Lineage: Eukaryota; Apicomplexa; Aconoidasida; Piroplasmida; Theileriidae
Description: SSU rRNA
Rfam family: Eukaryotic small subunit ribosomal RNA
Source: RNAcentral